GUUUGGCUUGCACAUCAGAAUUUGGAAACAAGAAAGGAAGAAGAACUAAGCAAGAUCCAUUUUCGCAACUAUUGGUACAGCUCCACUAAAUCAGCUUCUGUUUUGGAGGAGAAAACUGACCUUGAAGUUGUGUCAGUUAUGCUGAAUGUGUGUUAUGGAGAGCUACGAAUUUCUUGCUAAUGGAGAUGGAAGUUUGAGUAAGAUAAGAGUUCAAAGGCUGCAUUAACACCAUCUAAACCUCUAUUAAUCCAAGGUGCAGUUUAGUAGCUUUUGACAGAUAGCAGUUUCGGAUUGAUGGCUUGAAGUGGUAUUGGCUCGGAGACCUCGUCAGAUCUCUCUUUCCGCUGUGUAGAUCCAUUGAAGACAGAUGUUUUGUAAUUCUUGUUAGAAUUUCAUGUUGUAUUGUAUUAUGAAUUUUUCUAUAUCUAUAGCUUUUGUAUGUACUCAAUAUCAAUUUUAACGUUUCAUGCAUAAUAUACUAGUCAAUUAUGUAUGGGGUGUUACA
Long non-coding RNA from Vicia villosa (hairy vetch), 505 nucleotides. RefSeq lists it as uncharacterized. The record is from RefSeq and is a predicted model, not a curated record. Lineage: Eukaryota; Viridiplantae; Streptophyta; Magnoliopsida; Fabales; Fabaceae. The transcript has 3 exons.